Molecule: ribosomal RNA, 120 nt
Filed under: Candidatus Nomurabacteria bacterium GW2011_GWC1_37_9
Lineage: Bacteria; Candidatus Nomuraibacteriota
Also listed under: 1 other name
Source: RNAcentral
UGCCUGGCGAUUGUAGCAGAGUGGAACUACCUGACUCCAUCCCGAACUCAGAAGUAAAACGCUCUAGCGCCGAAAAUACUUAGACCUUUGGUCUUGGGAAGAUAGGUCAUUGCCAGGACU